UCCCUUGUGGUCCAGUGGUUACGACUCUGCGCUUCCACUGCAGGGAGCAAGGGUUCAAUCCCUAGUCAAGGAA
Non-coding RNA from Ovis aries (sheep), 73 nucleotides. NCBI's taxonomy places the organism in Eukaryota, Metazoa, Chordata, Mammalia, Artiodactyla, Bovidae. The record is from Rfam.